RNAcentral lists this ribosomal RNA (505 nucleotides) under uncultured bacterium. RNAcentral's name for it is "partial 16S ribosomal RNA". It matches the Rfam family "Bacterial small subunit ribosomal RNA", at positions 28 to 507 of the family's 1533-position model. The record is from RNAcentral.
GACGAACGCUGGCGGCGUGCCUAAUACAUGCAAGUAGAACGCACAGUUUAUACCGUAGCUUGCUCCACCAUAGACUGUGAGUUGCGAACGGGUGAGUAACGCGUAGGUAACCUGCCUGGUAGCGGGGGAUAACUAUUGGAAACGAUAGCUAAUACCGCAUAAUAUUAAUUAUUGCAUGAUAAUUAAUUGAAAGGUGCAAUUGCACCACUACCAGAUGGACCUGCGUUGUAUUAGCUAGUAGGUGAGGUAACGGCUCACCUAGGCGACGAUACAUAGCCGACCUGAGAGGGUGAUCGGCCACACUGGGACUGAGACACGGCCCAGACUCAUACGGGAGGCAGCAGUAGGGAAUCUUCGGCAAUGGACGAAAGUCUGACCGAGCAACGCCGCGUGAGUGAAGAAGGUUGUCGGAUCGUAAAGCUCUGUUGUAAGAGAAGAACGGGUGUGAGAGUGGAAAGUUCACACUGUGACGGUAUCUUACCAGAAAGGGACGGCUAACUACGUG